GACGAACGCUGGCGGCGUGCCUAAUACAUGCAAGUAGAACGCUGAAGGAGGAGCUUGCUCUUCUGGAUGAGUUGCGAACGGGUGAGUAACGCGUGGGCAACCUGCCUGGUAGCGGGGGAUAACUAUUGGAAACGAUAGCUAAUACCGCAUAACAGUAGAUGUUGCAUGACAUUUGCUUAAAAGGUGCAAUUGCAUCACUACCAGAUGGACCUGCGUUGUAUUAGCUAGUUGGUGGGGUAACGGCUCACCAAGGCGACGAUACAUAGCCGACCUGAGAGGGUGAUCGGCCACACUGGGACUGAGACACGGCCCAGACUCCUACGGGAGGCAGCAGUAGGGAAUCUUCGGCAAUGGACGGAAGUCUGACCGAGCAACGCCGCGUGAGUGAAGAAGGUUUUCGGAUCGUAAAGCUCUGUUGUAAGAGAAGAACGAGUGUGAGAGUGGAAAGUUCACACUGUGACGGUAUCUUACCAGAAAGGGACGGCUAACUACGUG
RNAcentral lists this ribosomal RNA (495 nucleotides) under uncultured bacterium. RNAcentral describes it as "partial 16S ribosomal RNA". It matches the Rfam family "Bacterial small subunit ribosomal RNA", at positions 28 to 507 of the family's 1533-position model. The record is from RNAcentral.